CACUCAAUUUGCUUUUAUGUGUGAUAUUUGGAUAAUUAUUUUUUCUGUACAAGCAUUGAAAACACAUCAAAUAAAAGUAGUAAGACAUCCAUAUUUCAAAAACCACCUUCCCUCCUACUGCUGACAUAGAACGGAACUUUCUCUUUCUCAGUUUCAUGCAUAUGGUAAUCAGUUUGCUUUCCUUUGAACCAGAUAAUUGUAAGAAUCACAGAAUAUCCAAAGCCUGUGCAUGUAUAUUUAUGUUCACUAACACAGUUACAUGAGAGAUCAGCAGAAAUACUACUGGUUCUGUUGGUUUAAAUUAAAUUCCUUAAUCAAUCCCCUGAGAAGUGUUAUCCAGGAGGUAACUGCCGAAUGUGCAUGAAUCUUUUAUGUGCUUCAUUCUAUAACAGUUUCUGGGAGGCCUGCAAAUGUGAAUUUUGCACAACAAAAAUGAAUUGCUGACAUUAGACAAGGCAUGUGGUGGUUUCCCGAUCUUGCAAAUCUAAUAACACAGGCUUGGCACAGCAGAACACAGAUACAAUUAAGUUUCCUCGCUUUAAGCCUGCCCCCACUCCUCUCCCUUAAGAGUAGUGGAAACUGCUGGCGCUUGGCUGUGACCACUGCGCAGACCUGGUUCCACUCGCUCGCGUGCCUCGCUCCGUUUCCUCCGCAACCAUGUCUGACAAACCCGAGAUGGCUGAGAUCGAGAAAUUCGAUAAGUCGAUAUUGAAGACAGAAAAGCAAGAGAAAAAUCCACUGCCUUCCAAGGAAACGAUCAAACAGGGGAAGCAAGCAGGCGAGUCGUAGUGAGGCGUGCCCCGCCGAUAUGCACUGUACAUUCCACCAGCAUUGCCUUCUUAUUUUACUUCUUUCAG
This is an RNA transcript of Galeopterus variegatus (Sunda flying lemur), 857 nucleotides long. It is a transcript of the gene named thymosin beta-4 pseudogene, with no coding region annotated. Lineage: Eukaryota; Metazoa; Chordata; Mammalia; Dermoptera; Cynocephalidae. The record is from RefSeq and is a predicted model, not a curated record. The transcript has a single exon.